RNAcentral lists this ribosomal RNA (901 nucleotides) under Marquandomyces marquandii. Its description in RNAcentral is "LSU rRNA". It matches the Rfam family "Eukaryotic large subunit ribosomal RNA", at positions 34 to 964 of the family's 3401-position model. The record is from RNAcentral. Lineage: Eukaryota; Fungi; Ascomycota; Sordariomycetes; Hypocreales; Clavicipitaceae.
CUAAGCAUAUCAAUAAGCGGAGGAAAAGAAACCAACAGGGAUUGCCCCCAGUAACGGCGAGUGAAGCGGCAACAGCUCAAAUUUGAAAUCUGGCCCCUAGGGCCCGAGUUGUAAUUUGCAGAGGAUGCUUUUGGCGAGGUGCCUUCCGAGUUCCCUGGAACGGGACGCCAUAGAGGGUGAGAGCCCCGUCUGGUUGGAUACCGAGCCUCUGUAAAGCUCCUUCGACGAGUCGAGUAGUUUGGGAAUGCUGCUCUAAAUGGGAGGUAUAUGUCUUCUAAAGCUAAAUAUUGGCCAGAGACCGAUAGCGCACAAGUAGAGUGAUCGAAAGAUGAAAAGCACUUUGAAAAGAGGGUUAAAAAGUACGUGAAAUUGUUGAAAGGGAAGCGCUCAUGACCAGACUUGGGCCCGGUGAAUCACCCAGCGUUCUCGCUGGGGCACUUUGCCGGGCUCAGGCCAGCAUCAGUUCGCGCCGGGGGACAAAGACUUCGGGAAUGUGGCUCCUCCGGGAGUGUUAUAGCCCGUUGUGUAAUACCCUGGGGCGGACUGAGGUUCGCGCAUCUGCAAGGAUGCUGGCGUAAUGGUCAUCAGCGACCCGUCUUGAAACACGGACCAAGGAGUCGUCUUCGUAUGCGAGUGUUCGGGUGCAAAGCCCCUACGCGUAAUGAAAGUGAACGCAGGUGAGAGCUUCGGCGCAUCAUCGACCGAUCCUGAUGUUCUCGGAUGGAUUUGAGUAAGAGCAUACGGGGCCGGACCCGAAAGAAGGUGAACUAUGCUUGAAUAGGGUGAAGCCAGGGGAAACCCUAGUGGAGGCUCGCAGCGGUUCUGACGUGCAAAUCGAUCGUCAAAUUUGAGCAUGGGGGCGAAAGACUAAUCGAACCUUCUAGUAGCUGGUUUCCGCCGA